This 870-nucleotide ribosomal RNA is filed under the name uncultured bacterium. Its description in RNAcentral is "bacterial SSU rRNA". It matches the Rfam family "Bacterial small subunit ribosomal RNA", at positions 657 to 1525 of the family's 1533-position model. The record is from RNAcentral.
GAUAGAGGAAUUCCUAGUGUAGAGGUGAAAUUCGUAAAUAUUAGGAGGAACACCAGUGGCGAAGGCGUCUAUCUGGUUCAAAUCUGACGCUGAGGCGCGAAGGCGUGGGGAGCAGACAGGAUUAGAUACCCUGGUAGUCCACGCUGUAAACGAUGAAUGUUAAAUAUGGGAAGUUUUACUUUCUGUAUUACAGCUAACGCGUUAAACAUUCCGCCUGGGGACUACGGUCGCAAGAUUAAAACUCAAAGGAAUUGACGGGGACCCGCACAAGCGGUGGAGCAUGUGGUUUAAUUCGAUGCAACGCGAAAAACCUUACCACUCCUUGACAUGGAAAUUAUACCUAUUCGAAGGGAUAGGGUCGGUUCGUCCGGGUUUCACACAGGUGUUGCAUGGCUGUCGUCAGCUCGUGUCGUGAGAUGUUGGGUUAAGUCCCGCAACGAGCGCAACCCUCAUCCUUAGUUACCAUCAGGUAAUGCUGGGGACUUUAAGGAAACUGCCAGUGAUAAACUGGAGGAAGGUGGGGAUGAUGUCAAGUCAUCAUGGCCCUUAUGGAGUGGGCUACACACGUGCUACAAUGGUGGCUACAAUGGGCUGCAAAGUCGCGAGGCUAAGCUAAUCCCUUAAAAGCCAUCUCAGUUCGGAUUGUACUCUGCAACUCGAGUGCAUGAAGUUGGAAUCGCUAGUAAUCGUGGAUCAGCACGCCACGGUGAAUACGUUCUCGGGUCUUGUACACACUGCCCGUCACGCCAUGGGAAUUGGUUUCACUCGAAGCUAACGACCUAACCGCAAGGAGGGAGUUAUUUAAAGUGGGAUCGGUGACUGGGGUGAAGUCGUAACAAGGUAGCAGUAGGGGAAUCUGCGGCUGGAUCA